This 484-nucleotide ribosomal RNA is filed under the name uncultured bacterium. RNAcentral describes it as "partial 16S ribosomal RNA". It matches the Rfam family "Bacterial small subunit ribosomal RNA", at positions 30 to 507 of the family's 1533-position model. The record is from RNAcentral.
AUUGAACGCUGGCGGCAGGCCUAACACAUGCAAGUCGAGCGGAUGAAGGGAGCUUGCUCCUGGAUUCAGCGGCGGACGGGUGAGUAAUGCCUAGGAAUCUGCCUGGUAGUGGGGGAUAACGUCCGGAAACGGGCGCUAAUACCGCAUACGUCCUGAGGGAGAAAGUGGGGGAUCUUCGGACCUCACGCUAUCAGAUGAGCCUAGGUCAGAUUAGCUAGUUGGUGGGGUAAAGGCCUACCAAGGCGACGAUCCGUAACUGGUCUGAGAGGAUGAUCAGUCACACUGGAACUGAGACACGGUCCAGACUCCUACGGGAGGCAGCAGUGGGGAAUAUUGGACAAUGGGCGAAAGCCUGAUCCAGCCAUGCCGCGUGUGUGAAGAAGGUCUUCGGAUUGUAAAGCACUUUAAGUUGGGAGGAAGGGCAGUAAGUUAAUACCUUGUUGUUUUGACGUUACCAACAGAAUAAGCACCGGCUAACUUCGUG